RNAcentral lists this ribosomal RNA (352 nucleotides) under Planctomycetota bacterium. Its description in RNAcentral is "partial 23S ribosomal RNA". It matches the Rfam family "Bacterial large subunit ribosomal RNA", at positions 2570 to 2925 of the family's 2925-position model. Lineage: Bacteria; Pseudomonadati; Planctomycetota. The record is from RNAcentral.
GGUUUGGCUGUUCGCCAAUUAAAGCGGUACGUGAGCUGGGUUUAGACCGUCGUGAGACAGGUCGGUCCCUAUCUGGUGUGGGUGUAGGAUGAUUGCGGAGGUAUUCCCCUAGUACGAGAGGAUUGGGGAGUACGACCCUCUAGUGCACCAGUUAUCACGCUAGUGGUAUAGCUGGGUAGCUACGGUCGGAACGGAUAAGCGCUGAAGGCAUCUAAGUGCGAAGCCAUCUCCAAGACGAGUCAUCCCUAUCAGUCCCCUGGAAGACUACCAGGUUGAUAGGCCAGCGGUGUAAGCACAGCGAUGUGUUCAGCCUACUGGUACUAAUCGGACGAUCGGCUUAACCACCUUCCUC